Molecule: ribosomal RNA, 411 nt
Filed under: uncultured microorganism
Description: bacterial SSU rRNA
Rfam family: Archaeal small subunit ribosomal RNA
Source: RNAcentral
GCGCACCAGGCGCGAAAACUUUACAAUGUGCGAAAGCACGAUAAGGGAACUCUGAGUGCCUCCUAAGGAGGCUGUUCAGGUGUCUAAAAAGCACCUGGAGUAAGGGCUGGGUAAGACCGGUGCCAGCCGCCGCGGUAACACCGGCAGCCCAGGUGGUAGCCACUUUUAUUGGGUCUAAAGCGUCCGUAGCCGGUUGAGUAAGUUCCUUGGGAAAUUUGGCUGCUCAACAGUCAAGCUUCCAGGGAAUACUGCUCGACUUGGGGACUGGGAGAGGUCAGAGGUACUCCAGGGGUAGGGGUGAAAUCCAUUAAUCCCUGGGGGACCACCGGUAGCGAAGGCGUCUGACCAGACCAGGUCCGACGGUGAGGGACGAAGGCUAGGGUCGCGAACCGGAUUAGAUACCCCUGUAGU